This 3244-nucleotide long non-coding RNA is filed under the name Prunus persica (peach). Its description in RNAcentral is "long non-coding RNA (PPER_LNC003694)". The record is from RNAcentral. Lineage: Eukaryota; Viridiplantae; Streptophyta; Magnoliopsida; Rosales; Rosaceae.
AAAGACCUCUAGCAAAGAAGAGGGCUAAAGAGAGCACAGAGCAAUGGCUUCCUCCAUGAUUUCUUCAGCUACCGUGGCUUCGGUUUACGCUGACCGUGCCGCCCCGGCACAAGCUAGCUUGGUUGCACCAUUCACUGGCCUCAAGUCUGCCUCAGCUUUCCCCGGCGCCAAGAAGACCAAUGACAUCACCUCCAUUGCAAGCAAUGGUGGAAGAGUGCAAUGCAUGAAGGUAAGACUACUUAUCAACAUGUUGCUACAAUUAAUUUACAUUCAAAACAAUAUACCCAAAUGCAUGUUGAAGUAACUACUUCACGAGGAACCGAAAUACAUAACUUGUGAAUAUACAAAUGAAUUGUCUGAAUUACAGUCUGAUAACUUAACAUGUCGUAAAAAAAUACAAUUUUUUUCAUAAUCGUAGCAUAUUUACAUACCCACUAUUAACUAUAAUUAAAGAAAAUGUAGUUUAUUUCCAAGCUUACCAAUCCUUUCGUGUGCUUCCUGGCCGCUAAUUAGUAAUAGUUCCUCUAUUUUUUUGGCCAAGAAGGUACUAAUCGAAGUACUAGAACAUCGAUUUAUCGAAUAUUUUGAUUGAUACAGGUGUGGCCUACAGUUGGACUGAAGAAGUUCGAGACUCUCUCCUACCUUCCACCACUCUCUCCUGAGUCUUUGGCCAAGGAAGUAGACUACCUUCUCCGCAAGAACUGGGUUCCCUGCUUGGAAUUUGAGUUGGAGGUUAAUAAUUUCUUUUUAUAAACUUAUUUAUAUAUGUUAGCUUCAUGUAAUAUUUGUUUGCUGACUUAAUUUUCUUGAACAAAAUUGUGGUUUUAUAGAAGGGAUUUGUGUACCGUGAGAACCACAGGUCACCAGGGUACUAUGAUGGAAGGUACUGGACCAUGUGGAAGCUGCCCAUGUUUGGAUGCACAGACUCUUCCCAAGUGUUGAAAGAGCUCGAGGAGGCCAAGAAGGCUAACCCCAACUCUUUCAUCCGUAUCAUCGGAUUCGACAACGUUCGUCAAGUGCAGUGCAUCAGUUUCAUCGCCUACAAGCCUGCAGGCUACUAAUUUCAAGUUUCAUGAUUUUUAUUUUAUGUUGUUUGUGGCUUGUUAGCCAAGGGUCUCGGUGGUUUGUUUAAGUCUGUACUUAAUUAGGCCUUUCAAGACCUUUGUUGGUUUCUUUUCUUUCCCUUUUUCGAGACAAUUUCCUUUGUUUUCGAAGUUGGUGUUUUUCGGAUUCAUAAUGUGGUGGUGUUGAGAAUAUUCAUGAAUAAAAUGAUAUCCGUAUUUUAUUUUCAGUCCGAAUAAAGCUACAUGUAGCAUGUUUAUUAAUUACAUUACUAAUUACAUCUCUCAUCUCUUACUAAGACAUACACUCACGCACAUGUUUAGAGGUGUGGUGAACAAUGUUAUUGGUAAUAAUGUAAUAAUAGUUUUAUUGUUUUCUAAUUAGGAUUUUAAUUCAGUUUCUAAUUUCCUUUAUGAGUUUGGGAAUGUACACAGAUGAUGGUGAAUUAUACUGGGGAAAGUUGAAAUUUGUUCUGAAGAUUACUCAAGGUGAAUAAGAUCUCUUCAAUGAUUUUCUCAAAAAUACUUCUCUUAAAUGCAAUUGUUCAUGAAAACAAUUCAAGUUUGAUAGCCAGAUAAGUAACUAAAGUAAGUAUAAAAUUAAAAAUUACCAACAAAUUGCAGUAUUUGUAUGUACCCAAAAGGAAAAAACAAAAGCUUUCUCAAGUCUGUUUAAAUUGGAUAUAUUCAAACAAGAUAUACAACUUUUUAAGUUCAAUUUUACGUUUUCUAUUGAAGCAUGAGCUUAUAACUAAGCAGAACAUUAAAGUCGUUAACCACGUCAUAAGCCUUCAGGUUAUAGAUGGGUACCAAAUUACAAAAUCACAACAUAAGCUCAGUCCCAUUUUGAUGGCACAUUUUUUGAGCCAGAAUUCAGCUACUAAUUGCUAACUUAAUUUUUGCAAUAUUUCUUUAUUUUUAUUUUGAAAUUCAAUAAAACCUUCUUCAAGCACUUGCGCUUCUAUCAAUUUCGUAUCACACAUUUUUUCAAUUGACCGACUAGUUUUCUUGGACCCUAGAUAGCUACACUUAUGGACAUGCAUUUCUCCAGAUAAAGAAAAAGAUAAGCUGGGUCAUUUCAAAGUCGCCGCACUAAAAUUACAACUUUACCCUAAACCCUAUAUUCAUAUCCACACAGAAAUUUCGAAGCUGGCUUCCAACCGUGUUUUGUGUUUACACGAGCUUGAUGACGACCCUCUAGAUGAAAUUAGUGAUUUGUUAAAGAAUGAAUCAAUCUGGUGUGAAAUGACCAAAGUCAGUUGUCAUGCAAAGCCAGAAGAAGAAAAAAAAUAAUGGACAAUCAUGUUAAAAUAUGAAAAUUAUGAGAGAACUAUGAGAGAAUAUUUGUUUGUGGGAAUUUUCUGUGUAUUCUUCUCCUUGUAGGAGGUCUUAUUUAUAAUACAACGAAACCUGAAUGGACAAGUAAAUAAUAAAUUCCUAAAUCUAUUUACAGUAAAAAAUCAUGAAUUAAAGUAAAUCAAUUACAAUUAUAAUAGGAAUUCUUGGUGUGUAAGGAAAGUAAGUCAAUAUCCACAAGUCACGCCAACACUCCCCCUCACGUUGGUGCAUAGAUGUCGCUAAUGCCCAACUGAUCCAGUGAAUUGUGGAAUGUUUUACUGGAAAUCGCCUUUGUCAAAAUAUCUGUCAAUUGAUCCUCGGAUUUCACAAAAGGAAACUGAAACACUUUAGCCUCAAGCUUCUAUUUGAUGAAGUGUCGAUCCACCUCAACAUGUUUAGUACGAUCAUGCUGAAUCGGAUUCUGCGCAAUGGUUAUAGCAGCCUUGUUGUCACAAAAGAGAUUCAUUGUGGAUGUAGGUUUAUACCUAAGUUCAGUAAGCAACUUUCUUAACCAAAGAAGUUCACAAAUCCCUUUAGUCAUGCCUCUGAACUCGGCUUCUGUACUGGAUAAAGCUACUACAUUCUGUUUCUUGCUUCUCCAUGUCACCAAAUUACCUCCCACGAAUGUGAAGUAACCCGAUGUGGAUUUUCUAUAUGUUACAUUACCUGCCCAAUAUGCAUCUGAAUAACCAUCAAUAUUUAGAUGACCAUGCUUUGAGAACAUAAGUCCUUUUCCAGUUGCAGACUUCAAAUAUCUAAGUAUCCGAAGAACUGCAUUCAUGUGGUCUUCACUUGGAGAGUGCAUAAAUUGACUGACAACCCUCAUCGCAUAAGCAAUGUCUGGU